AAUGUAGGCGGUUUUGUAAGUCAGGGGUGAAAUCCCUCAGCUUAACUGAGGAAGUGCCUUUGAAACUGCAUAACUAGAGGACAGGAGAGGAAAGUGGAAUUCCCGGUGUAGCGGUGGAAUGCGUAGAUAUCGGGAGGAACACCAGAGGCGAAGGCGGCUUUCUGGACUGAUCCUGACGCUGAGAUUCGAAAGCUAGGGGAGCAAACAGGAUUAGAUACCCUGGUAGUC
This 228-nucleotide ribosomal RNA is filed under the name uncultured bacterium. RNAcentral describes it as "partial 16S ribosomal RNA". It matches the Rfam family "Bacterial small subunit ribosomal RNA", at positions 568 to 795 of the family's 1533-position model. The record is from RNAcentral.